UUCGCCCUUUUCCGGUUGAUCCUGCCGGACCCGACUGCUAUCAGAGUGGGACUAAGCCAUGCGAGUCAACGUAGCAAUACGUGGCAUACGGCUCAGUAACACGUAGUCAACAUGCCCAGGGGACGAGGAUAACCUCGGGAAACUGAGGAUAAACCUCGAUAGGCCAUGAUUUCUGGAAUGAUUCUUGGCUCAAACCUAUACGGCCCCUGGAUUGGACUGCGGCCGAUCAGGCUGUUGGUGAGGUAAUGGCCCACCAAACCUAUUACCGGUACGGGCUCUGAGAGGAGGAGCCCGGAGAUGGGCACUGAGACAAGGGCCCAGGCCCUAUGGGGCGCAGCAGGCGCGAAACCUCUGCAAUAGGCGAAAGCUUGACAGGGUUACUCUGAGUGAUUUCCGCUAAGGGAAUCUUUUGGCACCUCUAAAAAUGGUGCAGAAUAAGGGGUGGGCAAGUCUGGUGUCAGCCGCCGCGGUAAUACCAGCACCCCGAGUGGUCGGGACGAUUAUUGGGCCUAAAGCAUCCGUAGCCGGUCCUGCAAGUCUUCCGUUAAAUCCAGCUGCUCAACAGAUGGGCUGCGGGAGAUACUACAGGGCUAGGAGGCGGGAGAGGCAAGCGGUACUUUAUGGGUAGGGGUAAAAUCCGCUGAUCCAUAGAAGACCACCAGUGGCGAAGGCGGCUUGCCAGAACGCGCUCGACGGUGAGGGAUGAAAGCUGGGGGAGCAAACCGGAUUAGAUACCCGGGUAGUCCCAGCUGUAAACGAUGCAGACU
This 767-nucleotide ribosomal RNA is filed under the name uncultured archaeon. Its description in RNAcentral is "bacterial SSU rRNA". It matches the Rfam family "Archaeal small subunit ribosomal RNA", at positions 1 to 768 of the family's 1478-position model. The record is from RNAcentral.